RNAcentral lists this ribosomal RNA (443 nucleotides) under uncultured bacterium. RNAcentral's name for it is "partial 16S ribosomal RNA". It matches the Rfam family "Bacterial small subunit ribosomal RNA", at positions 338 to 795 of the family's 1533-position model. The record is from RNAcentral.
CCUACGGGAGGCAGCAGUGGGGAAUAUUGGGCAAUGGAGGAAACUCUGACCCAGCAACGCCGCGUGAAUGAUGAAGGUCCUCGGAUUGUUAAGCUCUUUUUUAAGGGAAGAAGAAAGUGACGGUACCUUAGGAAUAAGCCUCGGCUAACGACGUGCCAGCAGCCGCGGUAAUACGUAGGAGGCGAGCGUGCUCCGGAUUGACUGGGCGUAAAGGGUGCGUAGGUGGUUUGGCAAGUUAGUAGCGAAACUCCAGGGCUCAACCUUGGAACUACUACUAAAACUGUUGGACUUGAGUGCAGGGGGGGCAAGCGGAAUUCGUAGUGUAGCGGUGGAAGGCGUAGAUAUUAGGAAGAACACCAGUGGCGAAGGCGGGUUGCUAGACUGUAACUGACACUGAGGCACGAAAGCGUGGGGAGCAAACAGGAUUAGAUACCCGUGUAGUC